Molecule: long non-coding RNA, 559 nt
Filed under: Homo sapiens (human)
Lineage: Eukaryota; Metazoa; Chordata; Mammalia; Primates; Hominidae
Description: HSALNT0034322
Source: RNAcentral
UCUGACAACCCAAGUAAUCCUUUUAGUAUCAGCACUUAGGUUAAAUCAUGCUUUCCUUUCCUUGUCUGAGGACACUUAUCGAGCAGGAUGAUGUGCCAUAGGGCUGGAAUAAAUUUGGUAUUUAAAGUGCAUGUACUUAUUUCGCUUUGAGAAAACACAAAUAUAUUCAUAGUCACAGAAAACAGGGACCUAGAAUGCAAAGUCAAGUUCUCCCAUAACUAAAAUGCAAGGUUAUAUGUUGCUUCAGAACACAAAGAGAUGGAUUUCUGACAAGGGUUACCCACCAAAGAGACCCCAAUCCUGAAAACUUCCAGAUCGCACCCAGGAACGUGCAGUUCCCAAAGAAAUUCAAUAGAAAGAUGGGAGAGAUCCUAGUGUCAUGGCAUUUCAUUCUCUUGAAUAGUUGGUGAGAAAAAAACAAGAGGGAUGAGGGGAUUCUGUUACCAUGACAACGUGGAGAGGAGGCCUGGGGAUUGGGUAGAAAUGAAUAUUCUUCUAUUCCUGUACACUUCUGCCACACUGCCUGAUUUUUAAAAAAUUGAUGCAAUUAAACAGCAUG